Molecule: ribosomal RNA, 253 nt
Filed under: uncultured bacterium
Lineage: Bacteria
Description: partial 16S ribosomal RNA
Rfam family: Bacterial small subunit ribosomal RNA
Source: RNAcentral
UACGUAGGGCGCAAGCGUUGUCCGGAAUUAUUGGGCGUAAAGAGCUCGUAGGCGGCUUGUCACGUCGAUUGUGAAAGCCCGAGGCUUAACCUCGGGUCUGCAGUCGAUACGGGCUAGCUAGAGUGUGGUAGGGGAGAUCGGAAUUCCUGGUGUAGCGGUGAAAUGCGCAGAUAUCAGGAGGAACACCAAUAGCGAAGGCAGCUCGCUGGGACGGUAUUGACGCUAAGGCGCGAAAGCGUGGGGAGGAAACAGG